This 253-nucleotide ribosomal RNA is filed under the name uncultured bacterium. Its description in RNAcentral is "partial 16S ribosomal RNA". It matches the Rfam family "Bacterial small subunit ribosomal RNA", at positions 524 to 776 of the family's 1533-position model. The record is from RNAcentral.
GACAGAGGAGGCGAGCGUUGUUCGGAAUUACUGGGCUUAAAGGGCGCGUAGGCGGUAAUGUAAGUCUGAGGUGGAAUCCUUUGGCUUAACCAAAGGACUGCCUUGGAAACUGCAUUACUUGAGUCAGAUAGGGGAAGGCGGAAUUCCUGGUGUAGCAGUGAAAUGCGUAGAUAUCAGGAGGAAGGCCUGUGUUGAAGACGGCCUUCUGGGUCUUGACUGACGCUGAGGCGCGAAAGCGUGGGGAGCAAACAGG